UGGGGAAGCCUGCCCUGGGUGCUCACCAUUAGAGCAUGCGUUGCCUGGGGGGGAUUUAGACACAAUAGUAACAUCAACUAAAAGUUGGUCUGCUUUUUAUUACCAUAAUGCUGUGGCAAUUGAAAACCUAAUGUCAGUGACAAACCCUUCUCCCCGUGGAAGUACCUACCCCUAUGCCCGCCACUGUUUAUAUGCCACUGCAGGCAGGCCAUAAUAGAAUAGAUGGAGAGGCCAGGGGCAGCUGGAUAGGAAUUCCCAGUGCGUAGCAUCUACCGAAGCUAAAAUCCUGUCUCUUCCCACCUGCCAGCCAGCGCCAGUUGCCCACAGGUGUUCUGAAGAAGCACACUCAGCAGGGAGAUUUUUACUGAUCUAUAACUGAAAACUGACUGAGCUCCCUUUGGGGUGUUUGCCUCUCCCAAGCAACUGCCAGCCAGAAUGAGCUCAGCAGUGGGAUCCCCGGGGGCAGCGUAAUGACCCAGACUGUACAUGCAAUUAUUGACAGUGCACUGGCAACUCCAAGGCCUGUGACAAUGGCCUUCCCUCUUGUGACAUAAGCCAGAGAGCAAGAGGACAGCAUCCUCAAACAGGCUCAGAAAUUAUGCCUACACCCUGAAGACAGAGAGGGCAUCUUUGAUCUCCAGGCUAGAGUGUGUUUCCUGAAGGACCUGUUGGUGUCUGACUCACUGAUGUCCCGGCUGGCUCCCGCUCCAGCGCUGGACCCGAGGUCAAUCCCUGGGUCUGGAGGCUGGGAGUCAAAGGUCAAGGCGUGGGCAGGUUAGUUUCCUCUCCGGCCUCUCUCUGGGGCGUGCAAGUGGCUUGUUUCUCACCGUGUCUCCACCUGGUCCUGCCUCUGUGAUCACACAUCCCUGGUGUUUCUCUGUGUGUCCAAAUUUCAUCCUCUUAUAAAAGCAUUAGUGAUAUUGAACUAGGGCCUGCCCCAACAAUCUCCUUUUACCUAAAUUAAUUCUUGAGAAGUCCUAUCUCCAAUACAGUCACAUCCUAAGGUACUAGGGGUUAGGGCUUCAAUUUACCAAUUUGGGAGGAUACAAUUCAGCCCACAACUGUAUUAUGCCCAUGCUCCACCAAGUCUCAACCAUUUCAGUAAUAACCCCCUCUAAAUGUUUUUGUGAUCUAAGUUAUAAAUGAUUGUUCCAGCUGUUACUGAGGUUUUCUACUUACCCUUCAAUAAACAUUAUAUCUAACAACAUCAACUUUAAUUAGAGAAACACCAGUUAUCCAUUUGGCCCCCGGCACACUGUAAACGCAGCUGCACAUUGGCUUUUUGAGAGAAAGUUCUUAAAGGUUUGGAGUCAUUUGAGCUCACUGCUGGCACAGCCCUUGUCUCCCAGCCCUGUGCUACUCUGAGCACCACUGCUUAAAUGGUAGAUUAGAAAUUAACAGUAAUUCUGGAGACAAGCAAAUAAAAUAGAACUUGAGUUACUUCUGAUGGAAUUUAUGUUUAAAUUUUAAAACAGAAACAGUCAUUUUAUACUUA
This is a non-coding RNA of Microcebus murinus (gray mouse lemur), 1495 nucleotides long. The record is from RefSeq and is a predicted model, not a curated record. NCBI's taxonomy places the organism in Eukaryota, Metazoa, Chordata, Mammalia, Primates, Cheirogaleidae.